CCGGAUUGUUCUGUCCAAUGAACCACUAUACAGUUUAUCACAUGAAGAUGACACGUAAAGGCAUGUAACCGCCUUUGAGUGUUCACGAGUUUCAUGAAUUAACCGAGGAUUUCUUUUUCCAGUUUCCCAUACCUUGAUGGUUCCAUCGGAAUGACUACUAAUUAACCGACCUCUUACGUGGAGCAGACAAAGAACUUCUCCAUUCAUUGAAACAUCCAUCUCAGGACAUUCAGUAUAACACCAUAGUUCUGCAGCAUCAAUGCAUGGCAAGUUCAUCAAGGUUUUCAUUAUAUCACUGACUACUGUUGAGUGCUUUUUAAGUUUCCUCAAGUUUCUGCAUAAACAUUUCGCGUAUAUUCCCAGUUCGCUAAGUGCACCUAAAUCAGUAAUAAAGCCUCUCAAAGCAAGAGCUGCCAAGAUCUUUUCCUCGAGGUUCUUCGUUGACUGCAGCAUCUGUAUAAACUGCUCAAGCAACGACUUACGAGCAAUAUCUCUAAUUCCAGUAUCGGGAAAACUAUAGAGCAUGUGAAUAAGCCAUGUUGCUAGUAUAAAUGAAGAUUUUGCUAUCUCCAUGGAUGUGCUUGUAAGGCAUUCCUCUAAAGCUUUGAAUAUUAAUCCUUUCUCAUGAUUGCAAAGAACAAAAGCCAUUCUAUUUUCCCAAGAACUCAGUGCUUUUUCUUCCUCUUCCGUUGUAUUUGUGAUGUCAUUUUCACCUGCUCUUUGUUUCUCUUCUUUUAUCGUAGCAUUAUACCGCUGAUUAAAUCCUGCAGUCUUGAGUAGACGGGCUUCAAGAAAGGACUUACCAGAGUUAGACAGAUGCCCGGAAAGAGAUAACAGGGCAUCGAGAGCCCUGAGCUGAGAUGCAGGAAAGUCCUUUUCGUGAAGUGCUUCAAUCAAUGCGUCUAUUGACUCUUCACGGUAUAUGCUCAUUUUCCGUGGUUCAACCAGAAGG
RNAcentral lists this unclassified non-coding RNA (952 nucleotides) under Hevea brasiliensis (rubber tree). Lineage: Eukaryota; Viridiplantae; Streptophyta; Magnoliopsida; Malpighiales; Euphorbiaceae. The record is from RNAcentral.